GCUUUGGUGUUUCUAGUGUACUGAACGGAACCACGCUGAUCCAUCUCGAACUCAGCUGUGAAACGUUAUAAAUCGGCGACAAUACUUGGGGGGGGACCUCCUGGGAAGAUAGCUCAAUGCCAAAGUUUUAACUCAUUCUAAUCUA
This 145-nucleotide ribosomal RNA is filed under the name Chaetoceros simplex. Lineage: Eukaryota; Bacillariophyta; Thalassiosirophyceae; Chaetocerotales; Chaetocerotaceae. The record is from RNAcentral.